RNAcentral lists this unclassified non-coding RNA (4161 nucleotides) under Hevea brasiliensis (rubber tree). The record is from RNAcentral. Lineage: Eukaryota; Viridiplantae; Streptophyta; Magnoliopsida; Malpighiales; Euphorbiaceae.
CAAUACCUUUCUCAGAUAGAUAUUAAUAAAAUGUCUAAUUUAUUACUGGACAAAUAAACUUUAUUUUUUAACAAAAAACUAGUAAUAAACUUAAAAAUCUGAAAAACAAUUUCGACAAUUAUAUGUAGGAAUGAUCUAGCUAGAGACUUGCCAUUAGAAAAUCUAAAGAUACAAUGUAACAAGUCUCAGUUAUUUUUUCCUCCAGUAAUGACCCGUCAUUGAACAAGCAUUAGUAGCGUUUCUAACCGGUAAGAGAUCGUUAAAAACAUUAUUUUCAUGCCAAGAGCAGUAUACUUAAUAGCGGUGUAUCAAUUGCUUGUACGAGUCCUUGUUCUUUGAGUUGUAUUCAAUCUCCGCCUUGCGAACACCUUUUAUAGCAAUCAUAAGCUUUUUCCCAAUUAGAUCCUCCAAGACAUCGUCUUUCUCCAGAGCUUCUAGAGACUCAGAAAGGGAUUUGGGCAAUCUUUUUAGUUUUGCAUCUAGAUAAGAAGGAUUGGUAUCAACAGGUUCAGGCAGAGAAAGAUGCCUUCUAAGGCCAUCAAUGCCCGCUGCAAGUAUAGCCGCCAAUCCCAAGUAUGGAUUUGCACAUCCAUCGAAAGAUUUAAUUUCAAAGUUGCUAACAAGACCAUCUUUUAUCCCAGGUGGGCAAGCAGUUCUUAUUGGAGCUUCCCUGUUUUCUUUUCCCCAGCACUGGUAUGCUCCACUCCAUGUGUUGGGUUGUAUUCUAUCAUAGCUAUUUGGAACUGGUGCUGUGAAGGCCAAAAUUGAAGGGAGAUGAUUUAGAACUCCUGCCAUGAACUCCUCCCCAACAGUUGAAAUUCCAUGCCUAUAGGAACUACCAGAUGCCAUAAAAACAUUUUCUCCACUCUGCCACAAGCUGAUAUGAACAUGGGAUCCAGAACCAAUGUCAUCCAGCGCAUACUUUGGUACAAAAGUUGCCAAUAGUCCAUGUUUCCUUGCAAUAGCCCUAAUAACCUCUCUGGCAAAAACGAGGUUGUCAGCGGAGCAUGUACAUGCUGUGUGCCCCAAGGCCACUUCAAACUGGCCUUUCCCAGCUUCUGCAUGUAACUGCUCCACGGUAAUAUUUAACAAUUGAAGAGCAGCAACAACUUCAUGAAAUAUGGGGGCAGCAGAGUCAUAUCCUGAUGCAGAGCAAUAGGGUGCUGAGUCAAUUGGCAACCAUUCUUCCUUCCCUUCCCUGCAAACACAUAUGGCUUUCGUUAUAUUUGUCAUUGCCCAAUUUAAGGCUUGAAGGACAUUAGGUGCAUACUUUGCCACACUCUUUAAGAGCACAAACUCAUUUUCAAAUCCUGCAUUCAUUACCAAGUUAAAUUCAUCUUUUAGAACUUUUGAAACCCUUCGUAAGGCCUCCCUUGGGCAAUACUCCCAUGCUUCACCAGGUCUAAGAUGCAUGUCAGCCAAAACCAUCUCCUCUACUUCCAUCCUAUUGUAAAAGAUAUGGCAUCAAUUCAAUUAGGUGGACUUACAAACAUAUAUAGACAUCAUAAAAUAGACAACAAAUUAACAAAAACUGAACAUUCUAAUGCAAGUGAACCAAUAACAACCAAUGAAGGAUCUAUGAAGGUUAAUUGCACAUGUAGAAUGUAGAUAACAGCUAACUAGGGAUAAUGGCAAUGUUGUAGGUGCAGGGUAACCCUCGCUCAAAAUUUUCCAUUUUUAUUUUUCCUACUCUUUUAGCUGCUCUCCUUUCGAUCAAUGAAUCAAAAUGAAAAACAAAAUGCUAGGCCCACAAAAGCAAAAGCCCUUUCCUGACUACAAAAAAUACCUGGCAAGUCCUUAUUUGACAUACACUCCUGGCUUCAAAGGAAUGGAACACAAUAUCUUGAGAUAUCUCCUUUUUCCUUACAAAGAAGUUACAGUACAAACACAACAGCCAGCAAAGGCUAUUUUUUUCUUCGAUAAGCAUUUGGUUUUGACAUUUAGCCAGAUUGUAAUUUGGGAAGAAUAAAGCUUCCUUGAUACUCCAUGGGAUUCUCCUUUUAGUUGUUAAAUCAGGCAUCAGCCUGAUCUCACCCACUCCAGUCAGAUUAGUCUCAUCUGCUGGACCAUCAACAGAUGAAGUCAUUGCCAUACUUGCAAAAGUCAAACCAAUACCAUUCUUCUUCACAACAUCAUUGAAGCGUUUUACAGGAACAACACGGCAUCUGUGUUGUCCCGAUGCAUCAACCCAGAGAAUACGAACAAGUGAAACACCAUUGUCUGAAGCACUAUUCUCAAUGUUCACAGAGUUAGCAGAUACAAUAUCCUUUGAGUUAAACACUUUUGCACCUAUAUUAAUCUUGUAUAACUUAAUUGCAUUUCGUGCUAGGAUGUCUUUAGCUGCUUCAGUAGCUUCAUCAACUGUGACGUCACCAUCACAGCAUGCAUCACGUAGCACAGAAAAAAUGAUUUCGCGUGUUUUUUUUGCACCUAAGUAAUAUGUUUCAGGAAAUGCAUAGCCAUCAGUGCUGAACAUAACCUUAUUCAUUGGAGCUAGCUCCAAAAGUUCUUUGAGUGAAGAUAUCAUCCCGUGGACACUAAGUUUAGGAACUGCCAAGCCAAAAUCAAGGUACACCUGGGGAUAAACUGAGGCCAGAUAUGAUGCUUCCUUUGAAAAUGGAUAUGAUGCAUGCAAAAGAACAAUAUGACACUUGGAAAAUCUCUCAUCCUCAAGAAGCAUUCGAAGAUGAAGGGGAUUAGAUAACCUUAGAUCCAAAUCUUUAUCUCCAAAACUAAAUGUGAGAGGAAAGAGUAAAGCAAAAAAAUAAAUUUAAAAAGAUUAGGAAUACUGAGAAGACACAGAUAAAUGAAUGCUCUCUAUGGUAGCUAAAUGUAGGACAAAGAAAGGUAACUUGGAUCUUAAGAACUUGUCAGGAAAUUCUCAGAGGCAGACCAACUUGAGGCUGGUCCUCCUAUCGCUGAUAUUAGUGCCAAAUGUUGAAAUUGUUCAACUUCAAACAAUUUAAGCACAGUUUCAGUUCACUUGAGCACACUUUCAGUUCACUUGAGCACACUUUCAUGAAUGAAAUCCGUAGCAGACAUUAAAAAGUUAAAUCCAAUUAGCUUCAGCAGAGAUGACAGCAUCUUCAAUCAGCCGUGGAGACACCUUAAGUCCAAGUUUCCAAUUCCUUUUCCCACACCUUCCAGCCAUUAAUCAGGGCAUAAAGUGAAUUUUAACAAUUCCAAAAUUUAAUUGUACCCUGUGUGUAUCUGCAUUGGCAAGUCAAACUGUAGAGCAACCUCCAAACUAUGUGUGAAAAUAUAGUCGAUAAAGCUUUUAUUCGUUAUGCGAACAGGCUUGCCAGCACAUAAAACUUCAGCAAGACCUUCCUCAGCAUCUUUUGUAGUGACAUUUGUAUUGAUUUCUAGGCCACUACGGUAUGCAGCUACGCUUUUCAAGCCAACUAUUUUAUCAGCAAAUGACCUCAAGUUCUCCAUAAAGGUUUCAGUGAACGUAUCCAAUGUCCAAGUUGAUCCAUCUAGCAACUCUUUAUCCAGAAUUGAUUCAGCCAAGCGUUCAAUUCUCAGUAUUCGACCAACAAAUGGAGUGAAAUUCUUAUGCCACUCAAUAUCAUGCAUCUUAUCCAACUUCAAUCCAUCAUCAAUGAGAAUUGCAGAGAUUCUUGCAGCUUUAAAGCAUUUAACCAUAAUGGAUCCCAGACCUGAAGAUCUGCGAUGCUCUUCAACAACUUGCAAGGAAUUCUCGCAGCCAUAUAAUUCCGCUACUUCCCUCAAAUUCCUCUUGAAGGAGAGAGAGUGAGGAGCGAAGGACAAAGCAUCGCCGGCAGCUUCAGAGAAGCUAUUGAUGAAAGGGAAGGAGGAAUCGAGGGCAACGAUGUUGUGAGCAUGAGCGUCGACCAGCAUCACCUCCUCUAUCGCCUGUCUGAGCUCUUCAAAAUCCAUUUUCACAGCUCUAUAAACUUCAGCUUUCACUCAAACACAGACUCUGCGGAUGGAUGGUUCAGUCUUUGGAGAUGAAGUUAUGACAUGCGAGAUUGGUUUGGCCAAAGCAGAAAGCGUCAAAGUCUGUGCGCGUCCGUAGUAUAGCAUUUUUGGAAAGCACAGAGACUAUUUAUCACUGCAUACCGAUAAUAACAAAAUCUGACACUGUGCGGGAUGAAGUAAUAAAUGAAGGUGCUAGACCCAUUUUCUGCGGGAGAG